Non-coding RNA from Pelobates cultripes (western spadefoot toad), 311 nucleotides. The record is from the annotation of a GenBank genome assembly. NCBI's taxonomy places the organism in Eukaryota, Metazoa, Chordata, Amphibia, Anura, Pelobatidae.
GGUGAUCGUGCGGCACUGCCACGGUAGAAAAGGCUGCUCAGCAAGCGGCCAGGGGCCACAGGGAGCAGGUGGGGAACAAGGGAGAAGGGUAUGGGCGACAGAGCCCAGCAGGGGAACCCGGGGAGGGGGAACAGAUUACAGGCAGAGCCAAAGCAUCAUAGCAGGGGCACCCAUUCCCCAUACAGCAGAGUGAGAAAACAGUAUAAAGUAACCCAGAAUAACAAUAAAUCAAUGAGCAGUAUCCAGAAUCUAUCAGAUAAAUGGCCUAAAUACAGCAACAGGUGUUACCAAGUGAUACAGCAGCUACAUAG